RNAcentral lists this small RNA (143 nucleotides) under Flavobacterium segetis. RNAcentral describes it as "Flavo-1 RNA". It matches the Rfam family "Flavo-1 RNA". The record is from RNAcentral. Lineage: Bacteria; Pseudomonadati; Bacteroidota; Flavobacteriia; Flavobacteriales; Flavobacteriaceae.
UUUUAGCCCAGAUGAUAGUGGAAAGCCCAGAACUUAUAAAACAUCAUUUUCUUGACAGAAAAGAGCGACCAGUGGAAGCUCCUUUUAUGGCUUAGAAAAUAAGUUUUAUAAGUGAGGACUUGCAACGAACAGCUGGAAAUAGC